AUUGAACGCUGGCGGCAUGCCUUACACAUGCAAGUCGAACGGCAGCACGGGAGCAAUCCUGGUGGCGAGUGGCGAACGGGUGAGUAAAGUAUCGGAACGUGCCCAGUCGUGGGGGAUAACGUAGCGAAAGUUACGCUAAUACCGCAUACGAUCUAUGGAUGAAAGCCGGGGAUCGCAAGACCUCGCGCGAUUGGAGCGGCCGAUAUCAGAUUAGGUAGUUGGGGGGGUAAAGGCUCACCAAGCCGACGAUCUGUAGCUGGUCUGAGAGGACGACCAGCCACACUGGGACUGAGACACGGCCCAGACUCCUACGGGAGGCAGCAGUGGGGAAUUUUGGACAAUGGGCGAAAGCCUGAUCCAGCCAUGCCGCGUGCAGGAUGAAGGCCUUCGGGUUGUAAACUGCUUUUGUACGGAACGAAAAGGUUUGGCCUAAUAAGCUGAGCUCAUGACGGUACCGUAAGAAUAAGCACCGGCUAACUACGUGCCAGCAGCCGCCGUAA
This 500-nucleotide ribosomal RNA is filed under the name uncultured bacterium. RNAcentral's name for it is "partial 16S ribosomal RNA". It matches the Rfam family "Bacterial small subunit ribosomal RNA", at positions 30 to 523 of the family's 1533-position model. The record is from RNAcentral.